GACGAACGCUGGCGGCGUGCUUAACACAUGCAAGUCGAACGGAAAGGCCUGCUUUCCCUUGUGGAUUGCGGGUACUCGAGUGGCGAACGGGUGAGUAACACGUGAGUGAUCUGCCCCCAACUUGGGUAUAAGCCUGGGAAACUGGGUCUAAUUCCCGAUAGGACUGCAGGGUGGUGCCUGUGGUGGAAAACGAUUUUCUAGUGGUUGGGGAUGAGCUCGCGGCCUAUCAGCUUGUUGGUGGGGUAAUGGCCUACCAAGGCGGCGACGGGUAGCCGGCCUGAGAGGGUGGACGGCCACAUUGGGACUGAGAUACGGCCCAGACUCCUACGGGAGGCAGCAGUGGGGAAUAUUGCACAAUGGGCGGAAGCCUGAUGCAGCGACGCCGCGUGGGGGAUGACGGCCUUCGGGUUGUAAACUCCUUUCGACCGCGAGGAAGCCACCUGGUUGGAAGGGUGGUGACGAUAGUGGUAGAAGAAGCACCGGCUAACUACGUG
RNAcentral lists this ribosomal RNA (494 nucleotides) under uncultured bacterium. Its description in RNAcentral is "partial 16S ribosomal RNA". It matches the Rfam family "Bacterial small subunit ribosomal RNA", at positions 28 to 507 of the family's 1533-position model. The record is from RNAcentral.